RNAcentral lists this small nuclear RNA (84 nucleotides) under Canis lupus dingo (dingo). RNAcentral describes it as "U4 spliceosomal RNA (ENSCAFG00020027553.1)". The stretch from base 1 to 70 matches the Rfam family "U4 spliceosomal RNA". Rfam says of the family: U4 small nuclear RNA (U4 snRNA) is a component of the major U2-dependent spliceosome. The structure of U4 snRNA from yeast and human has been reported. The record is from RNAcentral. Lineage: Eukaryota; Metazoa; Chordata; Mammalia; Carnivora; Canidae.
AGCUUUGCGCAGUGGCAGUAUCGUAGCCAAUGAGGUUUAUCCGAGGCGCGAUUAUUGCUAAUUGAAAGUACAAGCAGGGAUCCC